GUUCCGGGGCUCGGGAGGUCCGCGCGCAGCCCCGGGAGCGGGGCGAGGGGCGGGCGGCCCCGGGACGCGCGGCCCGAGGCCCGGCGGCGGCGGCGGCGCCCAGCCCGGCCCCGGGGACCCGCUCGCCUCCCGCGGCGCGGCCUGAGGGCCCGAGCGCGCUGGGCUCCCGCGGCGGGCGGCGCGAGCGCCCGGGAGCCGGCCGGGCCCGGGGGUGGGGGGGCGGGGGGCGGAGGCCGGGGGUCGCCGGGCAUCCGGGGGCCCCGCGGUCCGGCCGGCGGGGGCGGGGGCGGGCGCCCGGGGGCGGCCCGGGGCGGGGGGCGCAGGCCGCGGCGCGGGGCGGGUGACAGCGCGCGGGGGCCGUGCCAGGCCGGCCUCGUGGGCGCGGCGAGCACCUCGCGGCCCGGCCCGGCAGGUGCGGCUCGCGGGCCGGGCGGGGGGCGCGGCGGCCCGGCUCUCACCUGGCUGCAGCCCGCUGGGCUCCCGUCCUGCCGCCGCGCCUCGGCGCCGCAGUGCCCGCCGCCGCCGCCGCCUCCGGUCCCCGCGACAGCCGCCUGCAAAAUGGCGCCGCGGAGGGGCGGGCCGGGGGCGGGGAGCCGCGGAGCCGCCCGCCCCCGCGCCGGCGGGGACCCACCUCCCUCCCCGCCCCGACCCCCGCCCGCCGCGUGCCCCCCGAGGGGCGGCCCCCUCCCCCGCGGGGCCCGGCCCGCCAGCCGCCGCCCCCGUGCCCCGCCGCGUCCCCUGCACCACCGCCUAACGUCCCCGGUCGCUCCCUCCCCGCGUGGAAGUCGCCCCCCGCCUCGCGCCCCCGCGCCCCGCGCCCCGCGCCCUCCCGCCACACCUGCUCCGGGCCCACCUGGCUCGCAGAGCGCGCCCGAGGCUCCCCCGCCCGCUGCCCCUGCACCCGUCAGCGCGGCGGGCAGACCCCGGGGCAGCCGAGCGGCGGACGGGGGCGCGGCGGGGGUGGCGGGGGUGGCGGGGCUGGGGCUCAGGCAAUUUCGCCGCUUCUCGGGUUAG
This 1014-nucleotide long non-coding RNA is filed under the name Canis lupus familiaris (dog). Its description in RNAcentral is "lncRNA (ENSCAFG00030021955.1)". The record is from RNAcentral. Lineage: Eukaryota; Metazoa; Chordata; Mammalia; Carnivora; Canidae.